Vitis vinifera (wine grape) is the source of this 324-nucleotide long non-coding RNA. RefSeq lists it as uncharacterized. The record is from RefSeq and is a predicted model, not a curated record. The transcript has 2 exons. Lineage: Eukaryota; Viridiplantae; Streptophyta; Magnoliopsida; Vitales; Vitaceae.
CUCUGAGCAAGUUCCUUGGUGUGCAAAACAUUGGCGAGCUUCGAGACAGCAUAAGCACGUGUCGCAUCGUAUUGACUGGAGACACCGACACAAAUUUUCAGAAAAGCCCCAGAUAACGGAUUACGUCGCCGGAAAACCAGCUGUGAAUGGUCGACGAUACGUUCACGAUGCGACCUUGAACGCCGGUCUUUUUCGCCGUUUCGAUCAUCUUAUUUAGUAACAGUUUGGUCAAUAGAAAAUGACCUGAGAAAUUCAUUGAAAAUGUAUAUAUAUUACUUAGCUCAAAUAAAUUGAAUAAAUAAUAAUUUCAGUUUUUUUCUUCAA